Molecule: ribosomal RNA, 635 nt
Filed under: uncultured bacterium
Lineage: Bacteria
Description: bacterial SSU rRNA
Rfam family: Bacterial small subunit ribosomal RNA
Source: RNAcentral
GAGUUUGAUCCUGGCUCAGAUUGAACGCUGGCGGCAGGCUUAACACAUGCAAGUCGAACGGUAGCAGGAGAAAGCUUGCUUUCUUGCUGACGAGUGGCGGACGGGUGAGUAACGCUUGGGAAUCUGGCUUAUGGAGGGGGAUAACUACGGGAAACUGUAGCUAAUACCGCGUAGUAUCGAGAGAUGAAAGGGUGGGACCUUCGGGCCACCUGCCAUAAGAUGAGCCCAAGUGGGAUUAGGUAGUUGGUGGGGUAAAGGCCUACCAAGCCGACGAUCUCUAGCUGGUCUGAGAGGAUGACCAGCCACACUGGAACUGAGACACGGUCCAGACUCCUACGGGAGGCAGCAGUGGGGAAUAUUGCACAAUGGGGGGAACCCUGAUGCAGCCAUGCCGCGUGAAUGAAGAAGGCCUUCGGGUUGUAAAGUUCUUUCGGUGAUGAGGAAGGGUGGUGUUUUAAUAGAGCACUACAUUGACGUUAGUCACAGAAGAAGCACCGGCUAACUCCGUGCCAGCAGCCGCGGUAAUACGGAGGGUGCAAGCGUUAAUCGGAAUGACUGGGCGUAAAGGGCACGCAGGCGGUGACUUAAGUGAGAUGUGAAAGCCCCGAGCUUAACUUGGGAAUUGCAUUUCAUAC